UUUGGAGGGCAAAUCUGGUGCCAGCAGCCGCGGUAAUUCCAGCUCCAAUAGCGUAUAUUAAAGUUGUUGCAGUUAAAAAGCUCGUAGUUGAAUUUCGGGAUCAAUUUAUUGGUCGUGCCAACGGUACGCACUGGUACAAUUGGUUUCUCCCUUCUGACGAAGCAUGAUGUCAUUAGUUUGAUGUCGUGGAAUCAGGACCGAGGGUU
RNAcentral lists this ribosomal RNA (206 nucleotides) under uncultured Glomus. RNAcentral describes it as "partial 18S ribosomal RNA". It matches the Rfam family "Eukaryotic small subunit ribosomal RNA", at positions 547 to 991 of the family's 1831-position model. Lineage: Eukaryota; Fungi; Glomeromycota; Glomeromycetes; Glomerales; Glomeraceae. The record is from RNAcentral.